This 648-nucleotide ribosomal RNA is filed under the name Escherichia coli. RNAcentral's name for it is "partial 23S ribosomal RNA". It matches the Rfam family "Bacterial large subunit ribosomal RNA", at positions 541 to 1191 of the family's 2925-position model. The record is from RNAcentral. Lineage: Bacteria; Pseudomonadati; Pseudomonadota; Gammaproteobacteria; Enterobacterales; Enterobacteriaceae.
AAAAAGAACCUGAAACCGUGUACGUACAAGCAGUGGGAGCCUCUUUAUGGGGUGACUGCGUACCUUUUGUAUAAUGGGUCAGCGACUUAUAUUCUGUAGCAAGGUUAACCGAAUAGGGGAGCCGAAGGGAAACCGAGUCUUAACUGGGCGUUAAGUUGCAGGGUAUAGACCCGAAACCCGGUGAUCUAGCCAUGGGCAGGUUGAAGGUUGGGUAACACUAACUGGAGGACCGAACCGACUAAUGUUGAAAAAUUAGCGGAUGACUUGUGGCUGGGGGUGAAAGGCCAAUCAAACCGGGAGAUAGCUGGUUCUCCCCGAAAGCUAUUUAGGUAGCGCCUCGUGAAUUCAUCUCCGGGGGUAGAGCACUGUUUCGGCAAGGGGGUCAUCCCGACUUACCAACCCGAUGCAAACUGCGAAUACCGGAGAAUGUUAUCACGGGAGACACACGGCGGGUGCUAACGUCCGUCGUGAAGAGGGAAACAACCCAGACCGCCAGCUAAGGUCCCAAAGUCAUGGUUAAGUGGGAAACGAUGUGGGAAGGCCCAGACAGCCAGGAUGUUGGCUUAGAAGCAGCCAUCAUUUAAAGAAAGCGUAAUAGCUCACUGGUCGAGUCGGCCUGCGCGGAAGAUGUAACGGGGCUAAACCAUG